AGCGAACGCUGGCGGCAGGCUUAACACAUGCAAGUCGAGCGGGCAUCCUUGUGGUGUCAGCGGCAGACGGGUGAGUAACGCGUGGGAACGUGCCCUUCGGUUCGGAAUAACUCAGGGAAACUUGAGCUAAUACCGGAUACGUGCGAGAGCAGAAAGGUUUAUCUGCCGAAGGAUCGGCCCGCGUCUGAUUAGCUAGUUGGUGAGGUUACGGCUCACCAAGGCGACGAUCAGUAGCUGGUCUGAGAGGAUGAUCAGCCACACUGGGACUGAGACACGGCCCAGACUCCUACGGGAGGCAGCAGUGGGGAAUAUUGGACAACGGGGGCAACCCUGAUCCAGCCAUGCCGCGUGAGUGAUGACGGCCUUAGGGUUGUAAAGCUCUUUUCUCCGGGACGAUAAUGACGGUACCGGAGGAAUAAGCCCCGGCUAACUUCGUG
Molecule: ribosomal RNA, 437 nt
Filed under: uncultured bacterium
Lineage: Bacteria
Description: partial 16S ribosomal RNA
Rfam family: Bacterial small subunit ribosomal RNA
Source: RNAcentral